GGGGUCUGAAGGAGCGCGGCUCCCGGGCAGCAGGCAGUGGAAUUCCUGGGUCCGCUCCGGCCCGCGUUUACCUACCCUAUUCUGGGAUUUGGCCUUGCCCCUGAGUCGGCGGCAGAGGUCCCGGCGACCGGCCCCAUGGCGCACAGUGGGUUGUCAGUGAAAGUCUGAGCGGACCGGCCGCGCCUCCGAGCCCGGGGUCUUUGAGCGCGGACCCCGACGCGGUCUUCGCCCUGCGUGGAGGCAGGGCAAGCCCUCAGCGUGUCACCCGGACCUUGUCAGUCCUCAGUAUCUCCUCGCGGUCAAUUGGGAGCCCACUAAAACAGAAGAGCACGCCUGCUUGCUUCAGUGGCUUCAACAUUCUGUUCACCCAGGUAUUAGGCAGUGCCCACCCAGCCUUGUCUUUCAGGAACCAGCUCACAUCCCACCUCCUCUGUGAGACAUUCUGACAAGGAAAGAAAUGCAACUUCUGGGAGAAGUGCUUGAUGGCCAAGGACACAGUGGUUUUCCCCAGAGACGCCAGGGAAUCUGGGUCAAGGCUGUCUUCUUACCCUCUUCCCAAGGCCUCAAAACUGUGCUCUGUCCCCCCACCCCUCACGCUGCUCUCUGAACUCCAUCAGGGUACUGGUUCUGUGCUCAGCAGCUGAACACACACAGGAGCCAAGAUGCCAAGACUCCAAGCCAGUCUGGAGUAGGAGACAAGUGAACAGAUGAUCACAGCGCGGCUAUGAGGCCCUGGAAGCGGGGGUGAGGAGGUGGGGGUGGUGUGUGCAGAAGAGGAGUGGGUAGAGCAAAGCAAGCCUGGGGCCUGCUCCACACCGGAGGAGGGGCGAGUCCUCCAGGCCUGAAGGCUUUCAGCCUUCCUCACAGACCUGUGUUCCCACUGGCUACAGUUUCCUGUUUGGUACUUUUUGUCCUCCCCC
This is a long non-coding RNA of Bos taurus (domestic cattle), 920 nucleotides long. Lineage: Eukaryota; Metazoa; Chordata; Mammalia; Artiodactyla; Bovidae. The record is from Ensembl.